This 228-nucleotide long non-coding RNA is filed under the name Nicotiana benthamiana. Its description in RNAcentral is "long non-coding RNA (NBEN_LNC028777)". Lineage: Eukaryota; Viridiplantae; Streptophyta; Magnoliopsida; Solanales; Solanaceae. The record is from RNAcentral.
CAAUCGAUUGUUAGACAUAGACAAUCGAUUGUGGAUGAUUUUUGAAAAAUUCCAGAUUACAUCGUCUAACGACAAUCGAUUGUUAGACAUAGACAAUCAAUUGUAGAUGAUUUUUGAAAAAUUCCAGAUUACACUGUCUAACGACAAUCGAUUGGUAGACAUAGACAAUCGAUUGUGGAUGAUUUUUGAAAAAUUCCAGAUUACACUGUCUAACGACAAUCGAUUGUU